AACAUUGCUGGUGUUGUUUUGUUAGAAGUCAAUAUGUAUCAAAAUUUGUAAUUCUGAAUCAUCUGUUUUCUUUCUCUAACGCUUUUGAUUCAUGCUUCUUUUGCCAAGGGAAGUUCAAAAGGACCGCGCGCUGGAGCUCCAAAGCGUGCGCCCCUUCUACUUCGUUUACUUAUGUGGCGUGAAGACAUAAAGCAAACCUUUGGAGCCAUAGUUGUCUUUUUUUGUCAUCUAAAAUAAUAAUGGUAACAUAUUAAUACAAACAAAAAAAUAUUCUAGCUCAAAAAAUUGUAUGUGAAUAAUGAAUGGAUGCUAUGGAACUAUAUUUGUUAUAGAGCUAUGUAUGUAUGGAUGCUAUGGAACUAUAUGUAUAUAUGGAUGCUAUGGAAUUUUAGAUGUAUGGAUGCUAUGGAGUUUUGAUAUAU
Molecule: long non-coding RNA, 422 nt
Filed under: Hordeum vulgare
Lineage: Eukaryota; Viridiplantae; Streptophyta; Magnoliopsida; Poales; Poaceae
Description: long non-coding RNA (HVUL_LNC013549)
Source: RNAcentral